Molecule: ribosomal RNA, 392 nt
Filed under: uncultured bacterium
Lineage: Bacteria
Description: bacterial SSU rRNA
Rfam family: Bacterial small subunit ribosomal RNA
Source: RNAcentral
AUUGAACGCUGGCGGCAUGCUUUACACAUGCAAGUCGAACGGCAGCACGAGUGCUUGCACUUGGUGGCGAGUGGCGAACGGGUGAGUAAUACAUCGGAACGUGUCCUAAAGUGGGGGAUAACGCAUCGAAAGAUGUGCUAAUACCGCAUAAUCUCUAAGGAGAAAAGUAGGGGAUCGAAAGACCUUAUGCUUUUGGAGCGGCCGAUGUCUGAUUAGCUAGUUGGUGGGGUAAUGGCCUACCAAGGCGACGAUCAGUAGCUGGUCUGAGAGGAUGGCCAGCCACACUGGGACUGAGACACGGCCCAGACUCCUACGGGAGGCAGCAGUGGGGAAUUUUGGACAAUGGGCGCAAGCCUGAUCCAGCAAUGCCGCGUGAGUGAAGAAGGCCUCGG